Molecule: long non-coding RNA, 2180 nt
Filed under: Malus domestica (apple)
Lineage: Eukaryota; Viridiplantae; Streptophyta; Magnoliopsida; Rosales; Rosaceae
Description: long non-coding RNA (MDOM_LNC004974)
Source: RNAcentral
GGUGAGUAUUUUAAAAUAUUGAUAAGAAUAGACAUAAUAUGGCCUUCUCAGUAAAAAGAAAGUUACUGCAUAAUUUGCAAUCACAUAAGAAUAUUUGAUUGUGGGUGCGAAAACUUUUAAAUCCGAUGCUUACUUCAGUACCAUAAUUAAAUUAAAUAUUAGAAUAAAGUUUCUUUUUAUAUAAGCGACUGUUUACACUAAUGAUAUAUUUACUUAACAAAAAUGGGAUAACGAAUUAAUCGAAAUAAAAAUAGGGGAAGUACCCUAGUUAAUCUGAUUCCUUUAGGUAUUUGAUUAUGGAUUUUAAAGAAAGCUUACAAACUUUCAAUUUCAAUGUUAGUAAACAUAUGGAAAAGUUAAACUGUAACAACCCGUCCUCAAAUAUUACGGUUUUUAUAAUUUUAAAGUAUGAAUUUAUGAAAAUGCCCUUCGAGGUAAAAAUGUUGACUUUUGUUGACCACCUUGUCAUGUCACAUAAGAUUUAUUUCCUUGGCGUAUCCUUGUAGUACUCAGCGUUUUGAACGCAUGAGCGCAAGUAGAAUCGAAAUUGGAGUUACAAUAAGCGUUAUAUAGAAUUACGAAGCCUAAGGGCAAUUAGUCAAUUCACUAUUCUAGAUAUUAGGCAAUUAGUCAAUUUUUUUGUUGACCACACUUCCCCUUCUUCCCUGUGUCCUCCCCUCUCUCAAUCUCUAGGACCUUCUCGAACCUUCUCCUUCAUAUUUCCUUGUUUUUUCCCCCCAUCUCUGCAACUCAUAUCCCCGAGCACAAACAUGCCACACCACCACCACCACCACCACCACUCCCUGUUCUGGCGAGCAACCCCAAUUCACGAACUCUCUCCCUAGCAAUCGAUGACGGACUUUUGAACCCAGGCCAAGCUGAGAAACCCCUUGUUUUCCUUUUUUCCCUCGCUGCACAGUGCCAUCACUCUGCAAAAUCGAAUCCAGCAACUUCUCACCGUCUCUUCGGCGAAGGUAAGGUCUAAAAUCUUCCUAAAAAUUGUAGAUCAUGCCUAGCAGUAUGUUUGGGUUGUUUUUGAGACAUUUUGGUGUUGUUUGGAUGUAGAAACCUCAUGGGAAAAACCUCCCCAAUUUUCCAGCAAAACUCUGUCACUCUGCAGGCCAUUUCUGGCCAGUUAAGAUCACAACUCAACCCCAGAUUGGUACAUUUCGAUUCCUUAACUCCUGAGCUUUACUUUCGCUUUUGAAUUUUUUAAUUUGGUUUAUAAAUGAAACUGUUAUAGCCUUCCAAAGUUUUCCGAUUAUCCUCACUGCGAUUCUGGUGUUCUCAUUCGCAGAGGUCGGCCGACCCAAGACCUGAAACUUGGUCGACCUAACCCAAAACCCAUAACCAGGCCCAAUCCAAUAACUUGGCCCAAACCUUUAGGCCAUAUAACCCAAACCCUUAGCCCAUUAACCUUAACUCGGAUCCAACUUAGCAACCCAAAGCCCAGAUCUGACCCGACCCGGACCUAAUCCCAGUUUCCAUGGUCGGCGCGUGGGUGCACGUGGGUGGCUGUCAUGACCGGUGCAUGGAGCACACGCUCCUCCGCUGCCAUCCACAACGGCGACGGUGAAUUUUCCGACAACUUUCCGACUACCCAUCUAGGUGUGUAGGGUGGCGCGUGGCCACCUGAGUCGCCUCCAUGGAGGAACCUGAGGUCCCUCAUUAGGUUUUUCAACUUGCUGAAUCUGAAUCUGCUGUCCAUUUUCCCAAAUUCGAUUGUUUUGGUAUAGUUUUAUUUAAUGGUCUCUAUUUGUGUUUAGGUGCAUCCAUUGGAAGUGAACUCGUCCUCCUUAGUUCGAGUGGCUACUCGGUAGCGAAAUACUUAUGAGUGGAUCCUUUCUUAAAUUGCAUGUUUUUAUAAAAUAUUAGGCUUGCAUUCACAAAAUUCAUGAUUUCAUGAUUUUACGUUUUAUGCAUUAUUUAUGAUUUAUUGAAUUAUAUUUUAUGAUACAUUAUGAAUUAUUGGAUUUUCGUAUAUGAAAUUCUAUGGAUUUACGGACAUGAAUUAUCAUGGAUUUAUAAGAUGAGGCUUUGAGGUUUUGAGAUCCGGAUUUGAUAUGAGAUUUUUUAGAUACGUUUUCGGUGCUUAUCUUGUGGGUUAUUAUACAGCAUAUACACACAACCGAGUAUGUAGACGUCUAUGGCCUAGGACACAGUUGAGGAUAUUUAUAACA